Molecule: microRNA precursor, 199 nt
Organism: Oryza sativa Japonica Group (Japanese rice)
Lineage: Eukaryota; Viridiplantae; Streptophyta; Magnoliopsida; Poales; Poaceae
Rfam family: MIR812 microRNA precursor family
Source: Rfam
AAAAAAAAAAAACAUAGGUUUCUGUGCCAACUAUCCGUCUUAUAUAAAAUUUUUUUAUAAUUAGUAUUUUCAUUGUUGUUAGAUGAUAAAAUAUGAUUAAUACUUUAUACGUGACUUAUCUUUUUUAAUUUUUUUCAUAGUUUUUUCAAAUAAGACGGACGGUAAACGUUGGACACGGAUUUCCACUGCUGCACUUAUU